CUAUACAUGCAAGUCGAGCGAACAGACGAGGAGCUUGCUCCUUUGACGUUAGCGGCGGACGGGUGAGUAACACGUAGGUAACCUACCUAUAAGACUGGGAUAACUUCGGGAAACCGGAGCUAAUACCGGAUAAUAUUUCGAACCGCAUGGUUCGAUAGUGAAAGAUGGCUUUGCUAUCACUUAUAGAUGGACCUGCGCCGUAUUAGCUAGUUGGUAAGGUAACGGCUUACCAAGGCAACGAUACGUAGCCGACCUGAGAGGGUGAUCGGCCACACUGGAACUGAGACACGGUCCAGACUCCUACGGGAGGCAGCAGUAGGGAAUCUUCCGCAAUUGGGCGAAAGCCUGACGGAGCAACGCCGCGUGAGUGAUGAAGGUCUUCGGAUCGUAAAACUCUGUUAUUAGGGAAGAACAAACGUGUAAGUAACUGUGCACGUCUUGACGGUACCUAAUCAGAAAGCCACGGCUAACUACGUGCCAGCAGCCGCGGUAAUACGUAGGUGGCAAGCGUUAUCCGGAAUUAUUGGGCGUAAAGCGCGCGUAGGCGGUUUUUUAAGUCUGAUGUGAAAGCCCACGGCUCAACCGUGGAGGGUCAUUGGAAACUGGAAAACUUGAGUGCAGAAGAGGAGAGUGGAUUCCAUGUGUAGCGGUGAAAUGCGCAGAGAUAUGGAGGAACACCAGUGGCGAAGGCGACUUUCUGGUCUGUAACUGACGCUGAUGUGCGAAAGCGUGGGGAUCAAACAGGAUUAGAUACCCUGGUAGUCCACGCCGUAAACGAUGAGUGCUAAGUGUUAGGGGGUUUCCGCCCCUUAGUGCUGCAGCUAACGCAUUAAGCACUCCGCCUGGGGAGUACGACCGCA
This 860-nucleotide ribosomal RNA is filed under the name Staphylococcus hominis subsp. novobiosepticus. RNAcentral describes it as "bacterial SSU rRNA". It matches the Rfam family "Bacterial small subunit ribosomal RNA", at positions 49 to 890 of the family's 1533-position model. Lineage: Bacteria; Bacillati; Bacillota; Bacilli; Caryophanales; Staphylococcaceae. The record is from RNAcentral.